Molecule: ribosomal RNA, 231 nt
Filed under: Halobatrachus didactylus (Lusitanian toadfish)
Lineage: Eukaryota; Metazoa; Chordata; Actinopteri; Batrachoidiformes; Batrachoididae
Description: partial 28S ribosomal RNA
Source: RNAcentral
CGAAGCGCCGUGGAUUUUCGGUUGGCCCCGGAUAGCCGGACCCCCCGCCCGCGGGGGGAUACGGUGAGCAGAGCCGUUCGAGACUGGACUGGGGUGCGGCCGGAUAUGCGGCCGCCCCUCUCCUCCCUCGCACCUCAUGUUUGUGGAGAACCUGGUGCUAAAUCACUUGCAGACGACCUGAUUCUGGGUCAGGGUGUCGUAAGUAGCAGAGCAGCUCCCUCGCUGCGAUCU